RNAcentral lists this long non-coding RNA (36328 nucleotides) under Homo sapiens (human). RNAcentral describes it as "non-protein coding lnc-FAM217A-1:2". The record is from RNAcentral. Lineage: Eukaryota; Metazoa; Chordata; Mammalia; Primates; Hominidae.
AGUCAAUGCUAGAAAUGGACGUUUAGUUAUUGAAUCCCGCUAACGAGGGGAGCCAACAAGAGAGGGAUGUCGGCAUCGGGUGUGCGGUUCCAAGAACUGAUUGGCUGUGGAGAUUAGAAGUUAGGAACCUUUGCAACGGAAAGCGGCCUCGGGCAGGCGCCUUUUGAGCAGAGGAGUAAAACCGCCAGAGCGUCUCAUCUCUGGGCCCGGAGCCCCAGGCUCGUUCUCCUCAGCCCCUGCCGGCGGCGGCGCUCUUGCAGCCAUUCCUGUGAGGUCGUUUUUCGGAGCAGCCGGGCCGGCCGAGGAGUAAGUAGGCGCCAGAGUUCUAGCUCGGGCAUCUGCCUCGGGGCCCUGUCGCCGCCGCGCCCCGGAUCCUGCGUUGGUCCUGUCCGAUAAAGCGGAGGUCGGCCCUGCUUGCUGACGAGACCGUAAAAACCACGGCGCUUGGCGCCCUGCCGCCGCCACACCACACCAAAGUGUACCUGCCCGAGGCUGGCUUCGGGCGCGAGCUUGCAUUUGUGACUUUCUCUUACCGUCUUUGUUUGCUUCGUUUUAAGUAUUACUUCCAGAUAAGGGACACAUUCUCGAAAUACUUUGAAAACAGUUUUGAAUUUUGUUCCUCCCGUUGAAACGGAUUAAAUUUGGACCUUUCAAGCUACACUGUGCAAUCAUCAAUCUCAAUAAGCUCUUAAUAGGCUCAUUCUUCCGUAGGCUACAAACAAAAUAAAGAUCAUAACAUCCUGCGGAGGAAGCCAUUGGUCCAUGUAGAGUCGCCAGAUGUCAAUUAAGAGUAGAUCGCUUUUCAGAGAAUACUUAACGACUCUGGUUUAGACCUAGACUUGGAACUUUGAGGUGUUUGGAACACUGGGCAGAAUUUUCCUUUGUUACAAAACAAAGUUUAUGAGAACGUAAUUUGUUUUUGUUGUUUUUGUUGUUAGUAUUGAAGCAAUUUUGGUGCAAACCAAAGGAUAACAAAGCAAAACAAUGAAAAUCACCCAGAGUUCCAUUACCCACACUGAACCAACUUGAAUAUAUUGGUUUAUUUUGGCUUUUUUCCAUAUGAAAUGUUAAAUUUUCUUGUACUCACGUGUAGAAUAUGAUAGUUUGCUCUUUCAUGUAACAUGUCUCCCAAUUUUUACAUACAUAAUUCUAGUUUCAGUAAGCAUUUUUAUAACUACACUCUUUUUCCUUUGUUAUUGUAUGUCUAGGUUAUUUCAACUUUGCACUGUUGCUUGUAACUACUAUGUGAUGAGGCAGUAGCUAGAUUAGUAUUUAGAACGUGAGCAUUCAAGUCAGGCAGACCUGGGCUUCACAACUUACUGUGCAAUUUCAAAGAGUUUAACUUUUUUGAGCCUCAUUUUACACAGUAACAUGGGGAUAAUGGUUCUGAUUGCAUAGAAUUAUUAUGAGAGUAAGAUGAAAUAAUGAGUGGAAGUGCCUGCAGCAUGUAUUGUUAGUAAAUGCUGUAUUACUGCAGGCAAAUUUUUCUUUUGUUGUGGUUUUUUGGUGACAUGUAUGAUUUAUUUCCAGAUUUUGAAUAUACUUAAAUACUAUUAACCACAGUAGGGGUAUGGGGUUUGAUCCACAGCUUUUCAUAUAUUUUAUACAAUAUAUUGUGUGUUUGAUACACAGCUUUUCAUAUACUUUAUUAUAAGUAACACAUGAAUUAGAAAUAAUUUUUCACAAUAGGAAAAACUUUUUAAAAAUUAAAAUUUAUAAUCCUGCUAACCGUAGGUGAAUAGUCACAUUUUGGGCAAUCCUUUUUUAUGCAUAUAUAUGUAGUGGUUUUAUUUUAUUUUAUUUUAUUUUUAUUUUUUGAAACGGAGUCUUGCUCUGUUGCUCAGGCUAGGGUGCAAUGGUGCGACCUCGGCUCACUGCAACCUCCGCCUCACGGGUUCAAGCAAUUCUCCUGCCUCAGCCUCCCGAGUAGCUGGGAUUACAGGCGCCCGCCGCUGCGCCCGGCUAAUUUUUAUAUUUUUAGUAGAGACGGGGUUUCACCAUCUUGGCCAGGCUGGUCUCGAACUCCUGACCUCGUGAUCCACUCGCCUCAGCCUCCCAAAGUGCUGGGAUUACAGGCAUGAGCCACCGUGCUGGGCCUGUAGUGUUUUCUAAAAAUAGAAUUAUAUUAUAAAUUGGGUUUAUCAACUUGCUGAAAAUGGCAGAGGCCAGUGCGAUGAGAGUAGGGUGAUUAAGGGAGUAGGAAGUAAUGCAGGAAAGGGAGUUUGUAGGAUUUAGAUUUCACUGAAAGUGUACUGGACAGGUUGGGCAUAGUGGCUCAGGCCUGUAAUUGUGUCACUUUGGGAGGCUGAAGUGGAAAGAUCCCUUAAGCCCAGGAGUUCGAGCCAGCCUGGGCAACAUAGGGAAACCCUAUCUCUAUAAAAUAAAAAUAAAAAUAAUUAUUUUGAAAAAAAAGUUUACUGGACAGAGUAAGUUCAGGGUUGAGGAGUGACCUGAUUUGUUUUAGAAGGCUCAUUUGGCUGCCAUAUGGAGAUAGACUGCAAGGGACCAGGGGAGGAAGAUGCAAUCCAAUUAGGAGAGUAUUUAAGUAAUCUCUGUGAGAGAUGGUGUUAGUUUCGAUCAGGGUGUAAGUAGGGAAAAAUGAUUGGGUUCUGGAUAUAUUUUGAAGGGAGAAGUUAUAGGAUUCACUGAUUGAUGGGAUGUGGAAUUCAAGAGAAAGUGACUUAAAGAAUUUUGGUUUGGGCAGUUAAACAGAUACAGUUGCUACUUACCAAGAUAGAGACUGAAAGUUGGGGGAAACUAAAUAGAGUUCUGUUUCAGUCAUGUUACCUGUUGUGGAGUCUAACUAGUUGGAACAGGAGUAUGAAAGACUUAAUCUUCUGUUCUUGAGGUAUCAAUUUGUCCCUUCAUUUCUGUCAGUUUUUGCUACAUAUAUUCUGUUACUAGGUGCAUCUAUCCUUGUAAAUUGUUACAUCUUCCUUGUGGGUUUAUCCUUUUAUCAUUAAAAAUGUUUCUCUUUUUCUCUAGUAACAUUGUUUUAAAGUCUAUUUUGUCUGAUAUUAAUGUAGCUAUUUCAGUUCUCACGUGAUUACUAUUUACAUGCUUUGUAUCAUUGACUCUAAAAUGUGUCUCCUGUAGACAUAUAGUUGGAUCUUGGUUUGUUUUUUGUUUGUUUGUUUGUUUUUUGUUUUGAGACAGAGUCUUGCCCUGCCUCCUUGGCUGGAGUACAAUGGCGUGAUCUGGGCUCACUGCAACCUCCACCUCCCGGGUUCAGACGAUUCUCCCACCUCAGCCUCCCCAGUAACUGGGAUUACAGGGGCCCGCCACCACGCCCAGCUAAUUUUUGUAUUUUUAGUAGAGACGGGGUUUCACCAUGUUGGCCAGGCUGGUCUCAAACUCCUGACCUUGUGAUCCACCUGCCUCGGCCUCCCAAAGUGCUGGGACUACAGGCAUGAGCCACUGUGCCUGGCCGGAUCUUGUUUUUUUUAAUCUGAUAAUUUCUGCCUUUUGAUCCAAUUGUUUAAUCAUUCACAUUUAAUGUUAUUGAUAUAGUUGGAUUUAUGUAUGCCAUCUUAUUUUUGUUUUCCUUAUGUCUUGUCUUUUUCUUUUCCUGUCUCUCCUUUACUGCUUUGUUUUGGAUCAAGUGAAUAUCUUCUAAUGUAGCAUUUUAAUUUCUUGAAUGAUUUUUUACACUGUUUUAAGUUUUUUUUAGAGACUGUAGUGGUGCUCUAGGGCUUACCGUACAAUUAGCUUAACUUAUUAGAAUCAGCUUCAGAUUUAUACUAACUCAAUUGCAGUGAGAUAUAGAAACCUUACUCCAAUAUAGUUUUAUUCCAUGUCCCUGUUUUUUUGUGGUUUUGUUGUUGUACAUGUUAUAGUUGUUACAAACUCAACAAUACAUUACUACAAUUAUUACUUUUACAUCAUUUAAAGAAAAUGAACAAAGGAAAGCAAAUAUAUAUUUGUAGCUUUUGUUAUAGUAACCUUAUUUAUCAUUUCAGGUUGUUUGUUUAUUUUUCUUGUGGAUUCAUUACCAUCUGGAGUAAUUUUGUUUUCUUUUUCUUUCUUUUUUUUUUUUUUGGAGGGAUAACAGGGUCUUGCUCUGUUGCCCAGGCUGCUGGAGUGCAGUGUCAUGAAUAUAUCUCACUGUAGCGUCAAACUCCUGGACUCAAAGUGAUCCUUCCACCUCAACCUCCUGAGUAGCUGGGACUACAGGCACAUGCCACCAGGCAUGGCUAAUAUUUGUAUUUUCUGCACCUCAGCCUUCUGAGUAACUAUAUUACUCUAUAAGCACACAUCACCACACCCAGCUAAUUUUUAAAUUUUUUAUAGAGACAGAGUCUCACUGUGUUGCUCAGGCUGGUCUCUAACUCCUGGCCUCAAGUGAUCCUCCAGCUCUGGCCUCCCAAAAGUGCUGGGAUUACAGGCAUGAGUUCUUUGUAUGAGUUCCUUGUAUAUUUUGGAUAUUAACCCCUUGUUAGAUAAAAGGUUUUUCAGUAUUUUCUCCCAUUCCGUGGACUGCCUUUUCAUUUUGUUGUUUCCUUUGCUGUGCAGAAGCUUUUUUGUUUGGUUUAGUUCCAUUUGCUUAUUUUUGCUUUUGUUGCCUGUGCUUUUGGUGUCAUUUACAAAACAAACAAACAAAAUUAUUGCCAAGACUAAUGUCAUGGAGCUUUUCCACUGUUUUCUUCUAGUUUUACAGUUUCAUGUCUUACACUUAAGUCUUUUCACUUUUUUUUUUUUUUGAGACAGAGUCUCCCUCUGUUGCCCAGGCUGGAGUGCAGUGGUGUAUGAUCUUGACUCACUGCAACCUCCACCUCCUGGGUUCAAGUGAUUCUCCUGCCUCAGCCUCCCGAGUAGGUGGGAUUAUAGGCAUGUGCCACUGUGCCCGGUUUAUUUUUGUAUUUUUAAUAGAAAUGGGGUUUCACCAGGCUGGUCUUGAACUCCUGACCUCAAGUGAUCCACCCGCCUCAGCCUCUCAAGGGACUAGGAUUACAGGCAAGAGCCACUGCGCCUGGCCUCUUUUAACCAUUUUGAAUUGACUUUUGUGGAUGGGGUAAGAUAAGGGUCCAAUUUCAUUUCUUGGCAUGUGGUUAUCUAGCUUUUUCAACACCAUUUAUUAAAGAGACUAUCCUUUCUUUAUUGUGUACUUUUGACACCUUUGUUGAUGAUUAGUUGGCCACAUAAACGAGGAUUUAUUUCUGGGAUUCCUAUUCUGUUCCAUUGGUCUAUAUGUCUCCUUUUAUGCCAGUACCAUACAGUUUUGAUUACUGUAGGUCUGUAAUAUAAUUUGAAAUGAAGUGUGAUGCCACCAGCUUUGUUCUUCUUGCUCAGGAUCAUUUUAGAUAUUCUGGGUCUUUUGGGUUCUGUAUGGAUGUUAGGAAUUUUUUUUUUUUUUCUGUGAAAAAUGUCAUUGGAGUUUUGCUAGAGAUUGCGUUGAAUCUGUAGACUACUUUGUGUAUUGCAGACAUUUUGACAAUAAUGAUUCUUCUGAUCCUGAACAUGGGAUAGCUUUCCAUUUAUUUGUGUCAUCUCCAGUUCUUUCAUAUAUGUAUUAUAGCUUUUAGCAUACACAUCUUUCCCCUCCUUGGUAAAACUUAUUCCUAAGUAUUUUAUUCCUUUUGAUGCUAUUGUAAAUGGGAUUGCUUUCUUAAUUUCUUUCUUGGAUACUUCACUGUUAGUGAAGUGUAAUUGAUUUUUGUAUGUUGAUUUUGUAUCCUGAAACUUUACUGGAUUCGUUUAUUCAUUCUAACAGUUUUUAGUGGCGUAUUUAGGGUUUUCUGUAUAUAGGAUGAUGUCACCUGCAGAGACAAUUUUACUUCUUCCUUUCUGAUUUGGAUGCCUUUUAUUUCUUUUCCUUGCCUAAUUUCUGUGGCUAGGAUUUCUAGUACUAUGUUGAAUGUAAGUGAUAAGUGUGGGCAUCCUUGUCUGUCCUUGUCACAUUCAGUUGUAUGUGCAAUACUGGAACCAUCCAGCUCAUAGUCACGUAAUUCCUCUUUGUGCAGCCUCAUGUAAAAUCACACCCCUAUUCACAUUUUUUUCUGUCUGUCUCCCACCUCUCCAGGUCCCUGCCCUGCAACUUUCAGUUACUUCAGACUCUCAGAAGACUAGCCUCUAAAUACCUCAAUUUAUCUGCACUACUGUGGUCUACUUGAAAUUCUCUUCCCUCUUCUGCAGUUUGUAAUGGCAUUCAGGCCAAAAACUGUAGUAGUUUUAGGGCUCUCUUCAUUUGCUUCUCUGCUCCUAGGGAUCAUAGUGCUGUGCUAUCUGUUGUCCAGCAUCUGACACAGUUGGUUUUAUAUUUUGUCUGGUUUUCUAGUUAUUAAGCAGGUUAAGUCUGGUUCCUGCUGUUCUAUAUAGCAGGAAGCAAAGGUUCUCUCAUGAAUUUUUAGCAUAAUAACAUAAGCGUGGAUUCCAAAAAUUCAUUACACAGAUCCUGGAAAUCUGUUUACUAUGUUUUAUACAUUCUGUGAAAGCUGGAGAAUAUAUAUUUGUUUUACUAUGUGUAUCGCAAAUAAAAUAUCAAUUUCAUGUGCCAGAGAAUUGAAUACAUUAUCAAAGGGUCAUUUCAUAACGUUAUAAUCACCAUCCAUCCUGUAAGUCCUUUGAAAUUUCUUCUUUUCUAUGGAUCUAACAUUGAUCAAUAACGAAUUCCUAAGCAUCUAUAUUAGUUAGCCCAGUGUUUCUCAAAGUCCACCGCAUGUAAAAAUCAUCUAGGGAAUCUUUCUAAAAUGUGGAUUCUGAUUUAGUAGGUCUGGGGUGAGGUCUUCCCUUUUGCAAUUCCAGCAAGUUCCCAUGGGAUGCUGGUACUGGUUAAUGGAAGUCACUUAGAGUAGCAAGGAGCCUGUUUGCCUAGUAUUUACAAUGAGCACGUUUUGGGUAUCAUCAAAACAAGAGAAUCUAAAAAUGUAUGGUGUGGGUGGAAGGUUGUGUUACUUGAUAUUUCAAAAAGAUCAUUGAAAUCAGAAAAUCUCAGAGAUAUGUUGGAUUUCAUCACAUUUAUUCUAUGGCUUAAUGUUGUUUUAUUUUGAAUAUAUAAUAAGAGAGAUACCACAAAUCUUUAGCUAUUAAUAUUUAGGGAUGUUAAUGUCCUUAAUUCAUAUUGUCUCAAAUGUGAUUCAUUCCCUCUAUAGGUAUACUAAAACAGGCAUUCAUGCCUACAAAACCAUCUUCCUAACUUUCUUUCCUCUUUUUAGUCUCUUCCUGAACCAGUGACAGUGGUUCUCAAACAUUUUGGUCUGAGGACCCCUUUAUGGCCUUAAAAAUGAUCGAAGAGCUUUUAUUUAUGAAGGUAAUACCUGCUAAUACUUGUUGUAAUCUAUUAACAUUGAGAAAUGUAAAAAUUUUUAUUAAUUCACUUAAAAUAUCAAUAAACCCAUUAUUUGCUAAUAUAAAUUGCACUUUUUAAUGAAAAAUAACUUUAGUUUCUACUGUGUGCUUCUGCAUUUUGAAAAUAUGUCUAGGAUACGGUAUGUAUUUAGGAGAUAUUUUCUAAAUAAAUGCAUAUUCAUUUUUUAAAAUGGGACAAAUGUAGCAUAGACAUAUUUUUGCUAACAAUAUCCAUAUAGUUGCAAAUUUCACUUUUAGAAUUUGCUUUCAAAAACAGGUUGUUUAUUCUUCUUUGUUAUGCCUUAGUUAGUAAAUCAUAUAUUAUAAAACUUCUUCAAUGCAAUUGGUCUUUGGUCAGCCAUUGACAUAGGAAGAGUUAGAAAGAGUCCAGGGCUCCUUGGUACUGGCUGUGACUGGAUAAGUAGGUUGUGGCUUAGUUUGUGUUUAGGUGUCAUAACUAGGCUAGGUUUGGGUCCCAGAAAGUGCUAGCCUUACUGUAGGAGAGGAAGUGGUAUUGCUGGGUGUGUCCUCAGGUCAGGAAGUGGGACGAGUGCAGUAUGGAAGCCCAGGGGGGUCCUUGUGACUGGAGGAAAGGUGAGGUUUCCAGUAAAGGAUUCAGAAUUCGGGCAUGGUGCAGCAUGCCUAUAGCCCCAGCUACUCAGGAGGCUGAAGUGGGAGGAUCACUUGAGACCAGGAGUUCAAGGUUGCAGUGAGCUGUCAUUGCGCCACUGCACCCCAGCCUGGGUGACAGAGUGAGACCUGUCUCAAAAAUAAAUACAUAAAAAUAAUAAUUAAAAAAAAAGGAUUCAGAAUUCUAGAAUACAUAUUAUCUUUCUAUCAUGCAGAUCUGUUCUUAGGAUUGUAUUUUCCAAAUCAUGAAUAAAAUAAUUUCCAAAAUACUUAUUGGGAAAUUAUAUAUAUGUACUGUAUUACUUGGAAUAAAAAUCAAAUAAAAGUCAAACUUCUUAAUGUGGCUGUAAAGCCUUGAUUAUUUAAACCUUGCCUAUUUUUCAGUUUAAUCUUUCAGCCACACUGGCCCUUGUGUUAAUCCUAAAACAUGCCAUGCUUUUUCCUACAUUAAAGCUUAGGGUUUUUGAUAUUUCUACUGCCUGGAUUUCUCUGUUCUCACUCUUCCUCUUGAUCACCAUGACUUAUUUUUCAAGUGUUGGCUUAAAUGUCCGUCUCACAGAUAGCCCUUAUCUAAAUAACAGCUUUCCCUCUGGUUCCUAGAUAAAUUAGGACCUGUUUUUUUCUAUAACUUUCUUAAAGUAUCCUAUUAUUUUCCCUGAUAAAACCUUGUUGGACUGUUUGUCAGUAUAUUUAUUUGCCUGUUUGUUUGGUGUCAGUUUCUCUUUUUUUCCUGUGUGUUUUGUUUGUUUGUUUUUUUGAGACGCAGUUUCACUCUGUCACCAGGCUGGAGUGCAAUGGUGCAAUCUCGGCUCACCACAACCUCCACCUCCCAGGUUCAAGCAAUUCUUCUGCCUCAGCCUCCCGAGUAGCUGGGAUUACAGGCAUGUGCCACCAUCCUGGCUAAUUUUGUAUUUUUAGUAGAGACAGGGUUUUUCCAUGUUGGUCAGGCUGGUCGCAAACUCCCGACCUCAGGUGAUCCGCCUGUCUUGGCCUCCCAAGGUGCUGAGAUUACAGGCGUGAACCACCGCACCCGGCCUGUUUGUUUGUUUUCUUAUUAGACUAUAAACUAUAUGAGAUCAGACCAUGUCUCUUUUGUUUAUCACUCUGGCCUACCUGCUAACACAGUGCUUACACAUAAUAGUAGGUGCUCAAGAAAUACAGUGUUUGAUGGAUGAACGUAAAAUUGUAAGAGCCUGAACUAGUGUAAUAUCGAAAAUAGGGAGGAAGACAUGAAUUAGGAAAGCCUUUGAAAAAUUAGCAUGUUCUGUGAUAAAGCUACAUCUAGGCAAUAUUUUUUGAUACUUUUAAAAAAAAAACUGUAAUAGCUACCCAAUAUUUAGGAAUGAUACACAUCACACAUCUCAGUGAGGUAUGUAGCCUUUUGUACUGGUGAAGAGAGCCAGGUGAAGUCUAACUCUAAGGAUCUAAACACUCCAUUCUAGUAGAGAGCCUGGAGAAGUGCUCUUGCAUAAGCUCAUCCAUGUAAGACCAUCCAUAACUUAGUGAAAUAAUUUUCAUUGCUGUUUAGUUGCAAAAAUCACUCACUGUUUUGCCUCCAUAAGAUUAUCGGUUUUAGUGUUUAAUCGUUCACAGCCUUGUCAAAACCAAAAUGGCUAGGGAGAGAACUAUUUCCCUACAUUAAAACUUCGAGCAAUGCUCUUCAUAGAUUUUGUUUUGAAUUGUUUAGGCCCAUCUCAGAGUUCAAGACACUUAGUCUCUUCUAAGAGAAAUCAUGGUCACAACAAACAGAGAUUAAAUAAAGAGCAAGAAAUUAGAAGAAACUCAAACCAUUCACUUAGAUUAUUUGUUAGAUUUUGGCCUUAAAAAGAGACAAAGUUGCUUGAAACAAGUGAUUAAACUGACAUUUUUAGAUUAUUAUUUUAUUCAUACCUUUAUUGUGAAUAAAUUGGCCACAUGAUAACAUUUUAUAAUGUUAAAUAAAUAUGAUAUAUAUAAAUCUGUAUACCACAACAAUUAAAUUGGAGGGCGAUUUGCCAUUUAAAUAAUUUAUCAUAGGAUUUUUAUAAGAUCAAGCGCUUAGUGCAUAUCAAAGAGACAGAAAGUUUUCAUUGCAGUUCUGCACGUUCACUGAGUACCUUUUAUGUACCAGUUGCAUUGUUCUAGAAUCUUAUCUAUCAUGUAAAGCUAGGUACACCUGAAAUAGUUUAGUUAUGGUGGCAAAGUUAGACUGCAGUUAUUGGCUGGGAAUUUUUUGUAUAUCUAUGUACAUCUUCCAUAAGAGGGCAGCAAAGGACCAGCAUGAUUUUUUCCUUAUCAUGAAGUCAUAGCAGAGAUUGCCUCAUAUUGCAAACUUAAUAGAAAUCUUCUCAGAGUAAGGGCAAACAGAGGGCAUGGUUACAAGUUUACUUACUGUCUAGCCUGUCUUUUAUAUGGUCUGAUAUGGCUUUUUAGUACAUAGAUUAUCUCACAUCACAGUGAUAGCCUAGUGAUUAAAUGUUGAUCCUGGGGUCAGUUGUCAGGCUUUAAAUCCUGGAACCAUAACUUAACUAGCUUCGUGGUCUAGAAAGACUACUCAGUCUUUCUGAGCCUCAGUUUCUUCCUCAAUUUUUUAUAAAAAGGAGGGCAAGGGAUAGUAACAAUGCCACUUCACAUGGUUUUAAUAAACAAAAUAAAAUUUGUGUCCUGAAGAGGCUAAGAACAGUUAAAAGGUGGAGCUAGAAAAACCACCCUAUACUAGCCUUAGGUGUAUUGUAUUUAUUUAAGUUAAACUCUUAUUAAAAAGAGUCUCAUAAAGGAAAAUAUAGGUCAUUACUUUCUGUAACUACUUAGUAUUUUUAGUUAACUAACAUAUAUAUCUAUGUACUGACCAAUUAUUUGCUCGUACAAUUUAUCAAACCAAUUAAAUAUACACUGUUAAAUUUAUUUCCCUGUCCCCCGAGACAGAUCCUGGCUACGUUGCCCAGGCUGGAGUGCAGUGGCGCGAUUUUGGCUCACUGCAACCUCUGCCUCCCAGGUUCAGGCAAUUCUCCUGCCUCAGCCUCCUGAGUAGCUGGGAUUACAGAGGCCUGCCACCAUGCCUGGCUAAUUUUUGUAUUUUUAGUAGAGAUGGGAUUUCACCAUGUUGGCCAGGGUGGUCUCAAACUCCUGACCUCAGGUGAUCCAGCCGCCUCGGCCUCCCAGAGUGUUGGGAUUACAAGCAUGAGCCAGCACGCCUGGCCUGAAAAUACAUUUUGAUGAACAAAAAAUUUUUAAUUUUUUUUUUUUUUUUUUUCCUGAGACAGAGCUUUGCUCUGUCACCCAGGCUGGAGUGCAAUGGCGUGAUCUUGCCUCACUGCAACCUAUGCCUCCUGGGUUCAAGCAAUUCUCCUGCCUCAGCCUCCCGAGUAGCUAGGAUUACAGGCAUGGGCCACCAUGCCCGGCUAAUUUUUUGUAUUUUUAGUAGAGACGGGAUUUCACCAUGUUUGCCAGGCUGGUCUCAAACUCCUGACCUUGUGAUCCGCCCCCGUGGCCUCCCAAAGUGCUGAGAUUGCGGGCGUGAGCCACCACUCCCAGCCAAAAAUUUUUUAAUUUUAAAAGUCAAUGUAUAUCAUUUGUAUUUUAUAGUUAGUGCUUUUUUUGUAUUGUUUAAAUUUUUAAAAUUCUUCCAUUAAUCUAAAAUAUUUUCAUGUGUGCUUUCUACUAAGAGAAUUUAAGUUUUGUUUUUGACAUUAUAGUUUUUAAUACAUUUGGAUUUGGAUCUUAUAUCUUGUAUGAUACAGAACUCUAAUUUUCGCCUUUAACUACAUGCAUAAUCAUUUUUUCCACCUCCACUUAUUGAAUAGUUCCUAAUUUUCCCAUCAAUAUCAUGUGUUUCUUCUGGCAUAGCCAAAGUCCCAUAAAUGUGUGGGUCUGUUGUAGUUUCCUAUUUAAUUCAGUUAAUUUGUCCAAUUUGUUUUAUUAUGCCUUAAUUACCACAGCUUCACAGUAAGUCUUUAUGUCUGAUAGGGCAGCUUCCUCUAGUGUCUUCAGAAAUUUCCUGACUUUAAAAAAAAUCCUUAUUGUUCAUGCUUUUUUAAAGAAUUAGCUUUACAUGAUGCAAGAAAAAGAUCUGUUGGAAUUUUGAUUGUAAUUUUGUUAAAUCUAUAGGUCAACUAAUUACAAUAUUGAAUCUUCUUAUGCACAAACAUGGUAUAUUUCUCCAUUUAUUCAGGUCUUUAUUUAAUGUCUCCUAAUGUCUUUUUGUAGUUUUUACUUAGAGAUCUUACAUAUUUGUUAUUAUAUUUACUCCUAGGUACUUGGUAUUCUCUAAGAUUAUUGAAAAUGCUGUCUUCUUUUUAAUUACAUUUUCAGGUAUUUGUCAUUGGUAUAAAGAAAUGUAUUUGACAAUAAUCUUAUAUUCACCUUAAAUUCUCUUAUUUCUAAUAAAUUGUACUUUUUUUGGUUUUCUACAAAAAUGAUCAUAUCUAAAAAUAAAGUUAGAUUUGUUUAUUCUUCUGCAUCAUUUUGAAUUCAGUUUAUUAUUUCAUGUGCUAUUAGAACCUUUAAUUUAGUAUUAUUUAUUUUUUGAUUUGUAAAUCGGAAUGCUUUUAUUAUCUUUUCAUUUAGGAUGAUGUUUACUGUAGGUUACUUAGAUACGCUCUAUGGAAAUCUCUUUUAUUUUUUCUAAGACCUUUUAUUAUGAAUUUAAUGUUGAAUUUUAUCAAAUGCUUUCUCUGCAUUUAUUAGAAUAAUUAUGAUUUUUCUCUAUCUGUUAUUAUAAUGGGUCAGAUUUAUAGAUUUUUCUCAUACUAAGCCUAUCCUUGUAUUCCUUGGAUAAAUCUAACUUGGUAAUGUUUACUUUUUUCAUAACUUUUAGCUAUUAAGUAGAUACCAAAUUUUCUUUCAAGGUCAAGUUUGAUAGUUAUAAAAAACUAGUGAUACUAAGUCAUAGAAAAUAUACUUUAAAAAACUAGUGAUACUAAGUCAUAGAAAAUAUACUUUAUUUUAUAAAAAGACUUUAACUGUAAAAAGUAAAAAAAAAAAAAAAAAAAAAAAAAAAAAAAAAAAAAACCUGGCCGGGUGCGCUGGCUCACCCCUGUAAUCCCAGCACUUUGGGAGGCCGAGGCAGGCAGAUCACGAGGUCAGGGGAUCGAGACCAUCCUGGCUAACACGGCGAAACCCCGUCUUUACUAAAAAUACAAAAAAUCAGCCGGGCGUGGUGGUGGGCGCCCGUAUUCCCAGCUACUCGGGAGGCUGAGGCAGGGGAAUGGCGUGAACCCUGGGGGGGCGGAGCUUGCAGUGAGCCAAGAUUGCGCCACUGCACUCCAGCCUGGGAGACAGAGCAAGACUCUGCCUCAAAAAAAAAAAAAAAAAAAACCCCUAGAAUUUUAAUUACUGCCUUUACUUUUAAUUCAGUGGUUUUUAGUAUAUUCACAGAGUUGUGUAACAAUCACCAUGAUCAAUUUUAGCAUAUUUUUAUUACUUCAAAAAGCAACUCUGGACUCAUGAGCAGUCAUUCACUCCCCAUCUGCUCCCAACCCCUUUGUUCCCAUCCGCCCACCCAGCCCUAGGCAGCCACUAAUCUACUUUCUGUCUCUACAGAUUUGCCUGUUCUGGACCUUUCAUAUAAAUGCAAUCAGGCAAAAGAAAGGAGAUUUCAGUGCUCAGUGUUGCCAGGUAUCUCUGCCUCCAGUUUUGCACCUUCCUGGAAAGCUCAUUUUGUUCAGAUUGUCUGCCUGCCUCUAUCUAUCCUGCCUUCAGUGGAUGGCAGAGAUUUCAUCUCUUUUGUUUGCACAGCCUUGAAAGGUGCUUGAUACAGAGAUGCUUGGUAAAUACUUGCAGAAUAAAUUAUAAAAGUAACACAUACUCAUAAAAAUUUUAAAGUAAAAAUAUGUAUAGUAAUAAACACUUGGUGCUUAUUACAUAUCAUCCAGUGGGAUAAAUGCUUGUAAGUAUAGUCAGCCUUCUGUUUCCCUGGGUUCCAGAUUUGUGGAUUCAACCAACUGUGGCUCUAAAAUAUCUGGGGGGAAAAUGGCAUCUGUACUGAACAUGUACAUACUUCUUUUCUUGUCAUUCCUUAAACAAUACAGUAUAACUAUUUACAUAGCAUUUAUACUGUAUUAGGUAUUAUAAGUAAUCUAGAGAUUAUUUAAAAUAUACUGGAGGAUGUGCAUAGGUUAUAUGCACAUACUAUGCCAUUUUAUAUCAGAGAUUUGAGCAUCCAAGGAUUUGGGUAUCUGCAAAUUUUGGUAUUCUUGGGAGGUCCUGGAACCAAUCUCUUACAGAUACCAAAGGAUGGCUGUAUUCUCCAUUCCUUUUCACCAGCUGAGAUCGUACUGUUAUCUGCACUUAACAGAUUAAGAAAUAGGUGUGAUGAGUAAUUUGUUUAAAUUCUGUGGUUGAUUGUGUUACUUUUCGACUGUAUUCUGUGCUCUUCCCUACAGGAGGAUUAUUCAUUCCUGUUUACUUGAAUUCAGGCAACAUCAUGUAACUUGAUUUAAGGAACCGAUACAUGAGUGGAAAUUCUGUGUGGCAUUUCUGAGCAGAAGUUUUAUGAGGCAGCACAUGCUCACUGUGUUACCUGUUCCUUCUGCCAUGAGACUGGCAGAUGGACAUUCUCUAUCAGCCAGGAUAUCAGAAUGAAGAAAUGUAGAACAUAGACCAAAACACCAAUGAGAAAUAAGCGUUUGUUGUUUUAGGGAAAGUGUGUUACCACAGCAUAAUUUAACCUAUCCCAAGUGAAUACAUAUUCAUGGAGUUAAUAUCUAUACCUGAAAAUUGAAACUCAGGUUGUCUACAUCUAACUAUGCCUCUGUCUUUUCCAAAGGUAUAAAGUAGGAGAAACUUCCCCAUGAUCCUACUCUUCCAGUGUUAACUACAGUUAAAAUUUAGUGUAAAAUUGUUUAAUACUUUUUCCUAUGUGUAUGUCAAUGUUCAUUUUUUUAAAACUGGGACCACUUUAUAUGACACAUACUAUUUUAGAGCUUCCUUUUCCUACUUAGUAAUAUAAAAUGGACCACUGUCACAGGUUAGGUUUUCCAUAAACAGACACUGAGUUUGGAAUAUAAGAUUAUUUUCAGGGAUCAUCACCUUUAAAAGGAGAAGUGAAGAAGUAGGAUUGGGGAGAGCAAGAAGUAGAGCUGUGAUGCUGGCCCACAGAUGUCUCUCUGGGGUUCGUAUUGUUUGUCAGAGUUAUCCCAUAUCUUGUAGAAGUGGCCAUGCUUUUCAACCCACUCCUUACUCAGUGGCCUGAUGUGGGCUGCCCUGAGCAAGGUAGCUUUCUGCAGCUGAAGCAGACACUGAAGUUGCUGGCAGCUAACUCCAUCUUUGCAGCUGGGCAGCAAAUCCUUUCUUGAAGUGGGAUCUGGACAUUUAUAUUUGUCUAGCACAGUUCAUUUUUUGCAUCACUUGGAAACCCUUCUCUGUUUUCAUUCCUUUUGUUCUUAAUGUAUAUUCUCAAGCCUCUUGUCUACAAUCACUAGAUAAGUUUGUUGUAAACUGUCUUAACUAUAAAAUGAAGAAGGUAUAGGUAACUAUAAUAUGAAGAAUGCAUUGGAAGUGUAAAUUUUAAAGGAGUUUGCUGAUUAAUAACUCUUUUGUUGUAACUUUUGUUCAAUGAUGUUUGACAAAUACUUUUUUUUUUUUUAAUUUGAGGCAGAGUCUCACUCUGUUGCCCAAACUGGAAUGCAGUGGCAUGAUCUCAGCUCACUGCAACCUCCGCCUGUUGGGCUCAGAGAUCUUCCCGCCCCAGCCUCCCGAGGAGCUGGAACUACAGCCUUGUGCCACCACACCCAGCAAAUUUUUGUAUUUUAUUGCAGAGAUGGCAUUUCACCAUGUUGCCCAGGCUGGUCUUGAACUACUGGACUUAAGCAAUCCGCCCACCUGGGCCUCCCAAAGUGCUGAGAUUACAGGCAUGAGCCACCGCGCCUGGCUGACAAAUACUUUUUAAAAAUAUCCAAGUUUCUGGAUUUUAUUCACCUCUACAAAAAUGAUUUAAGUCCUGUAGAAACAUGUGCCCACAAAUGACACAGUAAUCUCCAGCAAUGUGUUCAACAGCACGUUGAGCAUAAUUGAGCAUAACAGACAUUUUUAAAUUUGUUGUCUCAAAUUCCAUUUAGAUUUGGCUAUUGAUGCAAAAUUAGGGAGGUCAUUUUUCACUAGAUUACUUUCAAUGCUGGAAUCCAUACUUAAAAAAAAAAAAAGAAGAAACUAGAUUUAGUAUAUCUUUCUUUGCCACUUCAGGCUUCCAAAGGAGAAAAAUUCAUGGAUAAGUCAUUAACUGUUACAAAUGCAUUAUGUCUUCAGUUGUGAUGGUUAUGAUAAAACAUGUUUAUUUUAUAUUUGUAAUUUAGUAAAAUUAGUUGAUUCAAGGAGCUCUAUCAUAAAUGGGAAGUAAUAAAAUGAUAAUAAUUAAAGCAGGUUAUUUUUCUCUGGUCAUUUUUGCAUUCUUUGUAGCUCAUGAAGUAGAUUUGUUGCUUUCAUCUGUGUCUGCCAUGUAUGCUAGGCAGGAAAGAAAGGAAGUAAGAAAGAUAUAGCCAUGUGGGGAAAGGAGACAGAGGGAAGGAGGAGGAAAGAGAAGGAAGGAAAUAAAAUCAACUCUUCGUUUUCUGCACUUUCCCUGAGCAAGUUCUUUUUUAUUUGUGUGUACAAUGAAUCUGCGUUUCUCCCUGCCACGCCCCCUCCCAACCCCUUUGGCUAAUAGAAAGCUCUGAAAAAAAUUUUGAAACUUAUAUCCAAAUGCAGUGGAUAUAAAUAAAGUUAUUUCCCCUGGCUUUUCAAAAAUAUGAGUGAGUGUUGGAUAUUAGAAAGCUACCUUACUUCUUUAGAUCGAGACCAUCCUGGCUAAUACGGUGAAACCCCAUCUCUACUAAAAAUACAAAAAAUUAGCCGGGCGCGGUGUUGGGCGCCUGUAGUUCCAGCUACUCGGGAGGCUGAGGCAGGAGAAUGGCAUGAAUCCGGGAGGCGGAGCUUGCAGUGAGCAGAGAUCGUGCCACUGCACUCCAACCUGGGCAAAAGAGCGAGACUCCGUCUCAAAAAAAAAAAAAGACAGCUACCUUACUUAUUGGAAAGAGAUGAUCUGUGUGGUCAGUAUCAGUUUCUUCACAGGAAAAAAAAAGUAGAUUAGUAAUAGUGUUUACUAGGCACAGUGCUUUACAUUUCUUUACUUAGUUCUCAAAACAAUCCCAUUACAUAGGUAUUAUCCCAUUUAACAGUUGAGAAAUCUCAGUCACAGAGAGUUAAGUGACUCCCCAAAGUUCACAUGGCUAGUAAAUUAUGGAGCUCUGGAUUUCAUGCCCUGAACCAAUGUGCUAUUACAAGCCACAUACUAAGGUUAAUACACAAAAUACAUGUCAUAAGAUAGGCUCCAAAUUGUUUUAGAGCUUCCCAGCAGUCAAACAGAAAAAAGGAAGCAUGGUUAUUUUCAAGACUUAGGAUACAUAUGAUAAAAGCAAAGCAGUUACUCAGCGGAAGUGCACCUUCCUCAGAAGUUGGGCCUGGAAAAAAACUUCAGAUAUUUAUAAAAUUGAUGCCAUACAAUGUUGUGAACACUAUGUUUCAAAACUGCCCCCUAAAAUAGUAUGAAGCUUUUUUUUUCACAUGACAAAUAUAUGAGAAACCAUUAUUAUUAUUAUUAUUACUGUUUUGAGACAGUGUCUUGCUCUGUCAGCCAGGCUGGAGUGCAGUGGCUCACUGUAUCCUGAAACUGCUGGGCUCAAGGGAUCCUCCUGCCUCAGCCUCCCAACUAGCCAAGACUACAGGCACACACAACCAUGCCUGGCUAAUUUUUUUUUUAUUAUUUUUUGUAGAGACAAGGUCUUGCUAUGUUGCCCAGGCUGGUCUCAAACUCCUGGCCUUAGGCAAUCAAUCUUCCUACCUCGGUCCCCCAAAGUGUUGAGAUUACAGACAUGAGCCAUCACGCCCUGCUGAAACCAUUAUCUUAUGAUUUCUGAUAUGUGACUCUUUCAUUGUAUGGCAUGAUCCAAGGAUAGAUUAUACAUCGAUUCAGUGAACGCAUGGACUCUAUUCUUCUGAGCAAUCCUCCAUGAGUAUGUGUUUUGAGGCUAAUCUUUUGAUAAGGAUAGACUAGCAAAGAAUUUGAUUGAUUCCGUCAGGACUCUAGAGUAGAAAUAUCAUGUAUUGUCAGUUAAAGGCAGAUCUUUGAAUUUUAACAAAGCCAGCAGAAGGCAGGAUUCAUACACUUCCAGGUAUGUCUGAACAGAAGCCUGCCUGACCACAACACAGAUGUGAUCGUCUAAGAGUCUUUCUUGGUGUAAAAUCCCAUGAUUCUACAGGGUUUAUUCAGAUCCUAGUGUCUUAAUGAGUUGAUGUAAGAGUACAGUGCUAUAUUCUAUGAGGGUGUUAUUAUUUGUAAUGAAAAUAGGGAGAAUAAUUACACAUUCUUGCUUUCUUUGGAUCAGAGCUUCUUUACUGGUAAAUACUCCCCUUUUCAUAUUUUUGUACCAGUCAUCAUAAUUUCAAAAAUAGUAUAAUACUGUAUUCUAAGCAUAACAUUUUAACUUGUGUUUAUAUGUGAGAAGUUUAGAAAAUAUAAUAAGAAAAAAUAAAAAUCUCCCACAAUCCUACUGGAGGCUAUGAAUCUUCUCACUCCCAUCUUUUCCUGCACACAUGCCAACGAACUAAAAAGGAUCAGAAUAUGCACACUGUUAUGUAAUCUACCUCAUUCAUGUAAUAAUGUAUCAUGGAUGACUCGAUGCCAUUACAUAUUAAUAGACAUAGUGCCUGCAGAGUAUUAUGUGGACACACUCAGGGCUGAUGCUCUGCUAGUAUCUUCAAGGCUGCUGGAAUAGCCAUGCUGGUUGCUAAAAUAUGGAAAGACUUCCAUACUGGUUAGUAAAUGGUGCUGCCCUGAGCCCUCUGAAUGCCUUCCCACUGGACCUCCCCCCCAUCACACUCCCCAGCAACUAAAGGGUUAACGCCUGUCCCAUCUGGGGCCUCUAGGAUCCUGCUAUAGUAGUGUGGCCAGCCUGCUUUCUGAUUGAUCAGUGCCCAUACCAAUGGUUAAAAUUUUGGAUAUCAUUCUUAAAUGUAUCAUACCACAUUGUUGGUAAUAUUUCGUGUGCUUAUUAGAAAGUAUUUUUCUGUUAAAUAUAUAUAUGUGUGUAUAUUUUUAAGUCUUCCGACAGACUUCUUUGACAUGUUAUGUCUUCAGGAAGCCAUAGGCUCUCAUGGGAAAUUGGUGUCUGGAAUUAUCACUGCAUUAAUGUAAUAAUAUAUAUUUACUAGAACAGUGGUUUGACAUAUGAAAAUCUUAAUUUAUACACCAAGCAUACUUGAAUGUAGACUUUUCCUUCUCUAUAGACCAGAAACCAUGGCAUUUAUUUGGAAUUGCUUGAUGUCACUUUAAAUUGAGACAUUCAAUCCAUUCCUCUUUUGAAUAUGAAAAACUUUUUCCUUUAAGACAAUAGUAUUUUAGACUUCACCAUCCUCCCAUACUGUUCUUUUAUAUUUCUUCAUGUUCUUUCUUCACUAAUCCAUUUCUAACACACCCAUAUAAUUUUUCAGAUUUUUUUCAUAUUUCCAUUUUUAAUAUUCCACAUUAUAUGGGUAAUUUUUUAUAAUCUGGCUUUCUGCAUUUGACCUCAUACUAGUUACCAGCUUUUAUUUUUUUUAAAUAAACAGCUUUGUUGUAAGGUUCAUUAAAACAAAACAAAAUUUCUUUUUUUAAUUGAGUUAGGGUCUCUCUCUGUCCCCCAAGCUGGAGUGCAGUGGUGCGAUCUUGGCUAACUGCAACUUCCGCCUUACGAGUUCAAGCAGUUCUUUGCCUCAGCCUCCCAGGUAGCUGAAAUUACAGGCACACGCUACCAAGCCUGGCUGAUUUUUGUAUUUUUAGUAGAGAUGGGGUUUCGCCAUGUUGGCCAGGCUGGUCUUGAACUCCUGAGCACAAGUGAUCCACCCACUUGGGUCCCCCAAAGUGCUGGGAUUACAGUCGCGCAACACCACACCUGGCUAAUUUUUGUAUUUUUAGUAGAGAUGGGUUUUCGCCAUGUUGGCCAGGCUAGUCUUGAACUCCUGAGCUCAAGUGAUUCACCUGCCUUGGCCUCCCAAAUUGCUGGGAUCACAGGCGUGAGCCACCACACCCAGCGAAAAGAGCAAGUAAUUCUUGCAAAUUUUUUACCCAAACCUUUAGAAUGUGUUCUUUUUUUUUUCUUUUUUUUUUUUUUUUGGUUUUGGGUUUUUUUUUUUUUUUUUUUUUGAGCAUUUAUGAAAUGGCUGUGAACUUCUUCUAACUUCUAACUUUCCAAGUUGUCUCCUUUUGGCCCUAGGAGUAGAAUUUUUCUUUAAUUCUCAGCUGGUGAGAUCUGUUGCCACCACAGUUCAAAAUAACGAUUAAGUACUGAGGCCAGCCCAUGCCUGAUCCUUCAGUGAUGUUAGGAAGGUGAAUGCUUGGCUGUUUGAAAGCCUCCUUAUUGUCAUUUCCAAUCCAUUCUCUCUGCUUCUAUUCCUUUUCUCCCAAAACAUUUCAGUGUUGUCAGUUCAUACUCUGGAGUCUUUGGAAAAAGAGAUUGUUGUCUUUUUAUGAAUUUGUCCAAAUUUUAGUUGUUUCUGGUUAAGUUUAGACCAAGAGGGAUCCAUGUCCCUACAGGAUUACCCCUAUUUCAACCAGUAGAUGAGGAAUAUCCAGCUUUAAUUUGUCAGAGCAAAAAUCCAUUAAUGUUUUCUCAUUACUCAUAAAAAAAAAUCCAGCUCCUUACUGUGGCCUAUAAACCUCUCCAUGAUUGGCCCUCCUUAAUUUAUCUCUUUUAGUCUUGAAGUUUCAGGCACACCUCCUUUUCUUUUAUUGAAAUUCUCAAAGCCAGGUACAGUGGCUCACCUGAGUUUAUUCAAGGCUAAUCCGUAAUUAGGGAAAUAAAGGUUACAGCUGCCUGUUAGUGACUCAGGUCGUAUAAUCACAUUCCUUUAAGGCUCAAAAUAACGUUCCAAUAGCUUUGAUUUUGAAUUACUUAUUUUCACAAGUUCUAUAAAAUUACAGAGUUCUCAUCUAUUUUUGUUGGCAGCUGUUUGCCUAGCAGUUGAAAGUGCUUAGCACAUGAUAGUAUAUGAUAAACAUUUGUUUAAUUUAUUUCAAUAUUGUCAGUCCAUAUUCCAGCUUCUUUGGCAAAGGAGACUGUUGUUUUUAUAUGAAUUUAUCCAAAUUUUAGUUGUUUCCAGCUAAGUUUAGACCAAGAGCCCCCACAGAAUUACUUCCAUGUCAACUAGUAGAGGAAGAGCUUUAAUUUAGGAUUUAAAUGCCACACCACAAUUAUCUAAAGUGACUGAAUUGAGCUACUGAAUAAUAGUCCUUCUAAAGAAGAUUUUAGACACACAUUUCAUUUCUGUUAUUGCUGACAAGUGUUUUAUUUUACAGAAUAAAAGGCAUCUUGCCUGGGAUAAAAUUUCGAAAGGCUGUGUUUUUGUAGCACUUUCUUUUUUGGAAGGAUCUCUUUUUAGCUACUCUGUGUCAUGGUGAUGUUGAGUUCUCUGUUGGAAGCUAGAGUUCCUGGGUUUUUUGAUGUUUCUAGGCUUUUGGGUUUUGUUUAAGAUUUGUGUUUUGGGAAGGAACAUUUCCAUGGUUACGCCCAUUCCUUCUACCAUCCUUGAAAAAACGAGCCAGUAGAGUAAUCUGAUUCCUGGAUUACUACUACACAGAUGUCUUUUGUAUCUGCCUACACAUGAAACUGCUAGGCAAGUUCCAUUUCCAUGCAUUUACUUCCUUCAGUGCUUUUUAAAAAUGAAGCACUUUUAAGAUUAGGAAUGAAAGACUUGGAUUGGCAAGUUAAACAGGGAUUGGCCUACGUUAUGUUAAUAGUCUAAACUCAAUGUAGGAUUAAUUUAGAGGUACAGUAUAUGAAGGGAGAGACUGUUUUGGGAACAACUAAAUCGAAGCUUUGAGCAGAAUUUGCACACAUGUGAGUAAUACUAUAUGCAGAAAGACUGCUGUACUUAAAAAUAGUUUUCAGGUUUUUAAAUAUAAAGUUUCAUGUUGGAAUAGUAAAAUAAAACAUAUGAACUUUUACUGACAUGAAGCAGUAAAAUUAACUUUUCCUUGGAACAGCUUGCAUGCUCAUUGCUGCUCCACACAAACCUAGGUUAAAGAUGCCCAUGAUCUAGCAGUUUUCUUCUCUGAACAUUGCAGAGCAUUUGCACAGACAUGCUUGAAUUUACACUCAUGAGUCCAUUUCAAGUAAGAAGAGGGAGUAAGAGAGGGACCUCCUUCUCAGGGUUAAGGAAGGCCUAAAUUAUGAAAAAGUAGUGCAGCUUUUUUCUUAAGUUAAAGUAACGGUAAAUUUACACCACAUUUCUCUAUGAAUCCAGUAUAUGAAAAGUUUAAUUUGCGUGUUAACUAUUGCUGUGCAGACAGCUUGUCAAGUGAUGAUUUUGACAGCCUGGUGUCUGUCUCCAUUCUGCUGGAACAUCAGACGCCAUUUCUCUUCUUCCUGAGAAAACCACCUCUCAUACUUUGGUAUCCCUCUAAAGUGUUUCAAUUGUAAAUUACUACUAAUAUAUAAUUACUAUUCAUUUAUAGAAGCUUCUAGCUUAAACAUAAAAAUAUACUAAAAGUGAAACAACCGUAAUCUUAACCUCUAGACAUAGAUUAUUUUUCUAUGAACACAUUAACAUAUAUGUCAUAGUUACUAUUGUUUUUUACAAUAAAAGGCUCAUACUAUACAUACAUACAACUUGUUCUGGUAUAUAUUUUGAAUCUUCAUAAUAGCAUUUGUAGAUAUGCUUUAUUUUUUGUAGUUUUGUUUUUUUCUUUAGCCAUCCUUGCAAAUACUAUGUAUUUUGCUUCCUUAAAUCAGUAUUUCAGUAGGAAAAAUUCUUAGAAAUUAAACUGUGAGGGCAAGCAAUUGUGAACAUUUACAUUUUAAUAAGUACCAACAAAUUACCUUAAAACGUGUACCGAUGGAUACUCUUAGUAAAAUGUAAGAGAGUGAUUCACUACAUUCUUACUAGCUCAGGCAUUAUCAAUUUUUUUUUAUUUUAAAUUACUGCCUAAGAAAUACAGUCAUAUAUCUUGUUCUUUUAUUUUAAAUUUCUAUUUGAGAAGUUAUGCACUUUUGUUUGUUUGUUUUUUGAGACAGAGUCUUACUCUGUCAUCCAGGCUGGAGUGCAGUGGCACAAUCUCAGCUCACUGCAACCUCUACCUCUCAGGUUCAGGUGAUUCUCGUGCCUCAGCCUCCCGAGUAGCUGGGAUUACAGGCGCCUGCCACCACGCCUGGCUGAGUUUUGUAUUUUCAGUAGAGAUGGGGUUUCACCGUGUUGGACCAGCUGGUUUGGAAUUCCUGACCUCAGGUGAUCCCCCCACUCAGCCUCCCAAAGUGCUGGGAUUGCAGGCGUGAGCCACCAUGCCUAGCCAGUUACACACUUUUUAAUGUGAUUAUUAAUCACCAUUAUUUCUACUUAUUCAAGCUGACUGUUCACAUAUUUUACUCUUUUUAAAGCAUGCAUUUUAAAUAAAUUGAUAAUAAAUGUUUUUGUCAAAUAUUGCACGUCUUCUCCCCUACAUUUAUUGAAUGCUUACUGCAUGCUAGGCUCUGUGCUAAAUACUUUACAUACAUUAUUCCAUUUAAUCCUCACAUUAAUUUUGGGGAAUGUGUUAUUUUCAUGUUCACACAAGGAAAAUGGGUUCAGAGAGGUUAAGGAAUUUGCCCAAAUUUACAGUUAGUUUAUUUUUAUUUUUAUUUUGAGACAGGGUAUGUCUCUAUCACCCAGGCUGGAGUGCAGUGGCACGAUCCCAGCUCAGUGCAAACUCCGCCUCCUAGGUUCAAGCAAUUCUAGUGCCUCAGCCUCCUGAGUGGAUGGGACUGUAGGUGCCUGCCACCAUACCCAGCUAAUUUUUUGUAGAGGCAGGGUUUCACCAUGUUGCCCAGGCCUGGUCUUGAAUUCCUGAGCUCAAGUGAUCUGCCCGCCUCAGCCUCCCAAAGUGCUGGGAUUACAGCCACGAGCCACUGUGCCCGCUCCACAGUUUUAGAAGUGGCAUUCAAACAGAGCUCAAUCACAAUAAAAGGCACAUCACAAACUAUGAUAAUCCCCCACCUCUUGGAUUGUCUUUUAUCUCUUAACUUUGUGGAGGGUUUUUGCUUUGAUUUUGUUUGUUAUGUUAUAAUGAAGUUUUAAAUUGUUAAUCAUUCCAUAUGGUGUCUAGGUUUUCCGCCAUGAUUAUAAAGCCCUUCCCUAGCCCCAUGUGAUACAAUUUUCUUUCUUAUAAUACUUUUAUAUUUCAUUUCUUUUUAAGUCUUUGGUAUAUCUGACAGCAAUUUAUGUAUGAUUCAGAUGUAUAUUUUUUUCCCCAAAGGUCCCAACACCUUUACUGAAUAAUCUUUUUCCCAUAAUUUGAGAUGACACCUUUAUCAUACACUUAUAUGCCCUGUAUAUUUGAGUCUAUAUCUGGACUCCCUUCUGGUAUAAAGAAGUGCAGUUGACUUUUGUAUAACGACCUUAUACCUGUCCACCUUGUUAAACCCUCUUACUAUUUCUAAUAUCAUGUCUACAGAUUCUGAUUUUCUGUUAAAAUGGUUAAUAAUUCUGUCUCUCUCUCUUUUUUUUUUUUUUUGACAUGGAAUUUUGCUCUUAUUGCCCAGGCUGGAGUGCAGUGGUACAGUCUUGGCUCACUGCAACCUCUGCCUCCUGGGCUCAAGUGGUUCUCCUGCCUCAGCCUCCCAAGUAGCUGGGAUUACAGGCGCCUGCCACUACACCUGGCUAAUUUUUGUAUUUUUAGUAGAGAUGAGGUUUCACCAUGUUGGCCAGUCUGGUCUUGAACUCCUGACCUCAGGUGACCCGCCUGUCUCAGCCUCCCAAAGUGCUAGGAUCACAGGCGUGAGCCACCGCGCCUGGCCCUUAACAUGGUUAAUAAUUCUCUGAUAAAGAUUGUUCUAGUCUUUUUCAAUCCUUUCUCAUCCUUUUGAUUCAACUUAUUUUUCUUAUGUGCUAUUGAAGUCCUUCAAGUCUAUGUUGUUUUUUUUUAUUUCUAAAAAUAAAACCAAGAAUACCAGAAAACCCUAAGGCUGAAGUAACUGAAAACCAAACUCAAAAAUUGAUCUGUAGGGUUAUUCAGUUACUCUGUUGGUUAGUCACCAGGUCGUGUAAGUGCAAGUCCUAAUCAGGAAAAACCAAGACUUUGUGAAUUAGGAUGGGGACACUCCAGAGGAUUCGGAGACCUCCUUGACUCCAUGGAGUACUCUGAACUCAAUGCCUUGAGCCUCCUCUGCUUGUCAAAGCCUUUCCUUCCUCUUAAUCCUCCCGAGGGUGUUUUCCUCCUGACACCAAAUGUGUGAUGUCCGUUCUAACACCAGCCAUUUCUCCAGUUCUCUAGACAUCAACCGGAUGUCCAAUAAUUCAAUUAAAUUCUGAUACUGUCUGCCUGCGUUAGCAUCCACCCCUACAAGUUAAAGGCUCAGUCCCACAAUACUUCCCUACUUCAGAUGUCAGCUGUAAAUGGGGUGCCCAGGUGAUCCACAUUUCUGCCCAGGUGACUACAAAUUUGGGGGUUCCCAUGGCCCCUUCCCCUCAGUUUCUAUAAUUUGCUAGAAUGCCUCACAGAACUCAGCAAAGCCCUGAAGCACUGAUUAUUCUCAUUUUAUUAUAAAAGAUAACAGCUCAGGCCUGGCACGGUGGCUCACACCUAUAGUCUCAGUAACUUGGGAGGUUGAGGUGGGAGUAUUAGAGCAGGUAGUUAGACGUGAGCAGGGCAGAAGAGGGUCCUUCCACCACCAGGAAUGUUAGGCAACCAUCAGGUGAUGGUCAGGUGGUUGUUAACUGUCUCUUUAAAAUAAUAAUUGGUUGCAGCCAGUGCUAGGGAAAGGCAGUCUCCCAACAGAUAGAAAACACCUGAAACUGGUGACUAGCAGCUUCCCAAUAUGAUCUCAGGAGUUGGGUGAGUGGGCUCAAGCAUGUGCACUCAAAGGCAAAAUGGCAGAGUUUAACGGGUAUAUGACCUUCCUCUAGGAACAUUCAACUUGUAGGAAAGAACGCCUCAAUGUGCAUUUGUUCAACUUCAGUAAACACACUGUGCAUUGGCCCCCUCCUAAGUGCUGGCAGGCCACCGCACAUGCAGAAUACCAGCAUAUGAAACCCCAAGUCAGAGGUCAAACUGGGCACUUGAACUCCUCAAGACUCCUGCUUGGCUAUCUUCCAAGUGUACCUUACAUUCUUUGAUUCCUGCUUUAAAACUUUUUAAUAAACUUUCACGCCUGCUCUAAAACUUACCUCCAUCUCUCUCUCUGCCUUAUGCCCUUCAGUCGAACGAAUUCUUUCUCCUAAGGAGGCAAGAAUUGAGGUUGCUGCAGACUCGUGGAUUUGCCACUGCUAACAGGAGGAUUACUUGAGCCCAGGAGUUUGCGUCUCCAGUGAGCUAUGAUGUUAUCACUGCACUCCAGCCUGGGCAACAGAGUAGGACCCUGUCUCAAAAAAAAAAAAAAAAAAAAAAAAAAAAAGAUACUGCUGAGGAACUGCCAAAUGGAAAAAAUGCAGAAGAGAAGAUAUAGGGAGAGGGGCAGAGAGCUUUUACGCCCUCUGUGGGUGCACCAGCCCUCAGUACCUCCAAGUUUUCAACCCGGAAGCUCUCCAAACCCUGUUCUUUAGGAGUUUUUAUGGAGGAUUUGUUGUGUGGACUUGGAUCGAUUAAGUUAUUGGCCAUUGGUGAUUAACUCAACUUUCCGUCCCAAGAGAUUGGGAGUGGGGCUAGAAGUUCCAGCCUCUAAAGAUGCCUAGGUCUUUUAUCAAUCCACCCUCAUCCUGAGGCCAUCCAGGCAACCCCAGGCACCAGUCAGCUCAUUAUCAUACAGAAGAUAAUCUUAUCACACGGGAGAUUCCAAGGGUUUUAGAAGCCAUGUACCUGGAACUGGCACAAAGACCAAAUAUGUUUUCUUGUGCUUUACCUCUCUUUUAAAAACAUGUAACUCCUUGUUAUGGGUUGAAUUGUGUCCCCUGCUUCACGAAUUUCAUAUGUUGGAGUCUUGACCCCCAGCACCUCAGAAUUGUUGAUGAAAAGAGUCAAACUCUGUAAAAUAUUUGAAGAGAUUUAUUCUGAGCCAAAUAUGAGUGACCAAUGCCCAUGACACAGCCCUCACGAGAUCCUGAGAACAUGUGCCCAGGGUGGUUGGGGAAUAGCCUAGUUUUAUACAUUUUAGGGAGACAUGAGACAUCAAUCAAAUACAUGUAAGAUAUACAUUGAUUUGGUCUGGAAAGGUGUCACAACUCAAAGAUGGAGGGUGAGGGGCAGUUCCAGGUCAUAGGUAGAUUUUAAAAUUUUCUGAUAGGCAAUUGGUUAAAAGAGUUAUCAAUAGAAUGUCUGGGUUUCGAUAGGGGUUGUGGAGACCAACUUUUAAAUUAUGCAAAUGAAGCCUCCAGAUAGCAUGCCUCAGAGAGAAUAGACUAAAUGUUUCUUAUUAGACAUAAGUUCUGUGUUGAUGUUAAAUGCUGGUUGGCUCUUUCUGAAUUCCAUAAGUGGGGAUGGUAUAACGAGCCAUGUCUGACCCCCCCAUUUCCAUCAUGGCCUGAACCAGUUUUUCCGGUUAACUUUGGAAUGCUCUGGCAGAGAGGAGGAGUCCAUUCAGAUGGCUGACGGAUCUUAAGAUUUUAUUUUUGGUUUACAGAAUAUAGCCUUAUUUAGGGAUAAGGUCUGUAAAGAGGGAAUCAAGUUAAAAUGAGUUCAUUAUGUAACUGAGUACUCUCAUUUUUCAGUUUAUUUUUUAAUUAUUUUCUCCUCUCCCCUUUCCCCCGGCUUAUGCCCCCAAAGCAUGCCUGCCUCAGAACCUUCACCCUCUAGGAGGGGUUGCCUUGGAACUCCCACCCACCAGGAGGGCAUGUCAAAAGCACGCCCACUUGGCCACUUUUAUAACUUCUGCCCAGGAAGGCACCAACUCAGCUACCCAGUAGUUAAGGCACUGGGCCAGCAGGGGGACCCCUCGCCCUUGCUCACUCCUUCCCCGGCCUUGGAUAAGUGCCUACUUUCUGCUCUGGGAGCAAAACGUCACAUGUAAAGGCAGGACUAACGUUCACGACUCUUCCCCAAGCUAGCUUCGGAAGAAACCGCUUUCUUUAUGCCAGACCUCGCUCUUGUUAAUUGGACUACGCAGGCAGCAAGCAACUAACCCUCUGUUUGGUGACGGUUAUGGAUGGGCGCCCUAAUCCGGUAUGACUGCUGUGCUUAUAGAAAGGAGAAACUGUCCAGGCGCGGUGGCUCACGUCUGCAAUCCCAGCACUUUGGGAGGCACAGGCAGGCGGAUCAUGAGGUCAGGAGAUAAGACCAUCCUGGCCAACAUGGUGAAACCCUGUCUCUACUAAAAAUACAAAAAUUAGCUGGGCGUGGUGGCGCGUGCCUGUAGUCCCAGCUACUCGGGAUGCUGAGGCAGGAGAAUCGCUUGAACCAGGGAGUCAGAGCUUGCAGUGAGCCAAAAUCGCGCCACUGCACUCCAGCCCGGUGACAGAGCGAGACUCCGUCUGAAAAAAAAAAAAAAAAAGGAGAAACUUGUACAUGGAGAUAUGCGUAAAUGUACAGGGACACAGGAAGAAAAUGGCUUUCUACAAGCCAAGGACAGAGGCCUGAAACGGAUCCUUGCCUCACAGCCCCCAGAAAGAGCCCACCCUGCCCCAACACCUUGAUCUUUGAUUCCCAGCCUUCAGAACUGUGAAACAAUACAUUUCUGUUGUUUAAGCCACUUGGUUACGGCAGCUAUAAGAAAUUGAUACACUUUUUUUUUUUUUUUUUUUUUUUGAGAUGGAGUCUCACUCUGUCAGCCGGGCUCUGGAGUGCAGUGGCACGAUCUCGUCUCACUGCAACCUCUGCCUCCCUGGUUCAAGCAAUUCUCCUGCCUCAGCCUCCCGAGUAGCUGGGAUUACAGGCGCCUGCCACUACCGCCAGCUAAUUUUUUGUAUUUUUAGUAGAGAUGGGGUUUCACCAUGUUGGCCAGGCUGGUCUUGAACUCCUGAUCUUAUGAUUCGCCCUCCUUGGCCUCCCAAAGUGCUGGGAUUGCAGGAGUGAGCCACUGCGCCUGGCCCUAAUACACUUUUUUAUAUGAGGAAGUUACAUUGUAAGAGCAAGUAAAUAUUCCUCUAUACAUCCCCAACCACUUCCACUGUAUAUAGACCAGUAGCUAGAGUUAAAUCCCUGUAUGCCCCAAGGGAAAUUACAGAUUUAACACAAGAGAAGGCUUACACAUCAAAAGACUUGUAAGACUUUGAUAAUUUAUGUCUUCUCUUCCCUGAGAUAAUUCUUCCAAAGCUUAGCAUUCACUGGCUUUUGUUUAUCAUGCUCAUGUCCACUGCCAUUUUUUGAUGUACUUAAUUCAUAGGUCCCUUGUUGGCUCUUUAGUCCUCAUUAUUCAUUUGAAAGCUUCUGGACUACCAUAAGGCUAUCUAUGAGAUGUUGGUAUAGCGCCCUGAACAUCUCUCUUAUCUUACUUAGUACACUUGUAUGACUUUAACUUGUAUUUUCCCCACUAGGCCCUGUUUUGUGUGAGGAUUCCCAGUGUCUAGCACAAUGCCUGGUACAUACCAUGUGUUUAAUACCUAGUUCUUAAAGGAAGAAGGAAGAGAGGAAGAGGAAGGAAAUUCUAUCCAAUAAAUGCUAUCUAGGAACAAUGUGGAUUUAUCUUUCUCUUUAGUUACUUAGGAGCUACAUUAGUAUCCUUAGAACUUGUGCUGGAGAGAUUAGUGUUGGCAGUUUAUUAUUUCGUUACCCUUCGAAACUGCAUGGGUAAUAACAGACUGUGGAUAGUCUCACAUGCUGUCUCCAAAUACUUUCUCCCUAAAACUAGAGCAUAUCCUCUUAAACACUGGCCUUGUUCGCCACCACCAUGGCCCAGAAGCAGGCCCAAUAAUCCUGGGGAGUGUUCCUGACUGGAACUCUGGGUCAGAAAGGAUAAAGAUGACUUAAUCUCGCAAUCCCACUUUCUACUCGGUUCUGAUACUCUUGAUGUACACAUGUUCCUCUGCUAGGUGCUUUUCAUUUUUUUGAGGGCCUUCAGUCUUCUGUUCAAGUGUGCAUGGUGCUUCUAAGCCUUCUCACUUAGUUUUGAAAUUAGCAUUCUACUCAGAAUAGAUAAAUGCUGCCAACUUGCAGUUCUUUUGCUUGGCCCAGAUUCCCUUAUAGUUUGCAGGUAAUUUUCAGGGUCUUCAGUAUGAGAUUAUUUUCAUUUCCUAGUUUCAACACAGAUGGUUUUCUCUUUACUUUUGGUUCAUUUCCGUGCAUUUUGGGGAAAGGAGAUAGAUAAAUGUGCACUUUUCAGCUACCUUUCUGGACAAUAUUAGCAUUUCCCCUUUACUUCUGAAUAUCCUUUGGACUCUCCUAUAUUGGAAAAAGAGGGUGAUUUAUGACUAUUUUAAUGGAAAACAAAAAUAAAUCUAUAGACAAGUUGUUAGAUAUAUUAAGAGUUUAACAAGGUGAAUAUUAUAACAGCUAUACCUUCACCCAGCUACCCUUGCUGGGCUCUAACUCGCUGUCUCUUUCUCUUGUUAUUGUUGUUGUUUUCCCCCAUGGGUGAGUUCUUUAUGGCAGUCUCCACCAUUUCCUCAUAAUCAUUUUCCUUUUGAUUUCUAUAUUCUGACAUCCAGUUCCCAUCAUACUGCGGCAGCUGAUCUCUCAAAAUAAAUUCAUUGAUUUUUUUUUUUAUAAUUGCAGUUACAUUUUUUCUCCUUUACUUUCCUUGCACACAGGACUGUAUUUGAUGCUGUUAAUUAACCCUUCUUUAAAACUUUGUUUUUUGUUUACUUCUGUUUCUUUACUGACUGUGUACAGUAAUCAGAAAAAUCAGAAAAAGACCUGAUUUUCUCUAAAUCAGGCCUUUUUCCCUCAAGGAUCUUUGUGGCCAUUUCCCCUGGUUUUCCUUGAGGAGAAAACUAUCUCUCUACAUCUCCCUCUUAACCCAACUUCCACUCCGCUAUUUUAAUAGUCUACUGGAUGCUACGGUGAACAAUUUAAAAGACAGAAGGACUGGGUGACAAACGUGAGGGAAUUUGGACUGAUGUCUGCAUGUCUGGCUUGAGUAACAGUAGGGACAGCAGUGCUGUUUCACAUAUACAAGGAACAUGAGGGAGAAAAGGGCUCAAGAGGAUCAUUUUGAUUACAACAAACAGGAACAAUGGAAACCACCUGACACCAGUCCCAAACCACCAGUGACAUUAGUCCAACCACUUUAAGAGAGUCUGAACUAGGUAGAAAGGCAAACUGAUAGAGGCUCUCGGGAAAGGAGUAACUACUGAGAAGUCAGCAAGAGAAAAAGUAACUUGACAACACUGUUUUCAAACCAUUGCAGCUACCUGAAAAGAUCCCCUUUCCUGCUCUGGGAGGCUGUUCCAUCUUCAGCAUCAGCACUUUAUCACAGAAGGCCUAAGCAGGGGAGAAUGUUGCCACAGAAGCCAAAGAGGGAAAGUCUUAGUGAAGAGUCAAGAAAGAAAAGUCUUGGAGAAAUACUUUUCGGUAUGGCAGUGAGGAGUGUGGUGGCCUUCUUGAGAGCACUCUCACUGCCUUGGUGAUAGGGGUCAUUUUGCAGCAUGUUGGCUGCAGAGAAGGCAACCUAAAGAAGGCAUUCAUGAAAUGCAGCCUGCUUCUUGAACGAAUCUGGAUGAAAGGCAGGAGAAUGCAUGGCAGCUGGAGGAAAGCCAGGAUGCAGGAGGGCAUUCCUUAGGGCAGUAAAGUGGACGUACAUGCGGGGUUAGAGAGCAACCCAGAAGCAGGAAGCAUGAGCCAGAGUCCAGGGUGCUUUGGAAAGAUUUAGAUAGGGGGUAGGGCCCAUCCUUCUCUGUCAUAGGAAGCAGGAUGUAAAUGGAGUUUCUCUGGUUGGCUGGAGGUUGAGGAAGUUUGCUUCCUAUGGCUUCUAUUCUCAUCUACUGAAAUGUGAGAAGAGGCAGUGGGAAUGGAAAAGCUACCAUGGGAGUGAGAGGAGAAACUCAAGAUAAAUGAAGGAAUUUCUGCAAGCAGUGUGGAAAGCUGAACUGAGGCUGGAGCCAUGCAUUUGGGGUGACAUCAGAUCUUCAGCGGAGUGCUUUUUUUUUUUCCAGCUUCACUUAAUAAUGUGAAUAAAGAUGAUUUUGGUAUAGGAAUUUGCAGGAUGGCUAAUAGUGGAAAACAAAGGAAAAUGGGGUAAUAAUAGAGCCUGCCAUUUCAGAGAGUGAUCAAAGUGACUCACAGUGAGAUCUAGACUAGAGAGGGCAGAAAUGAAAGGACCAAAGAGGAGAAGAUGAUCUCAGUGGAGAUAAAAGGUAGAUGGACGAGGAAAACUAGAGAGCUAGAAGGUUGUGAUUGGAGAUCAGGAUGAUGACAUUUAAGAGCCAGAGGUGAAGUUUAAAAAUAGGGAUUGUGAGCUGUCCAUGUUGGCACAUGCCUAUAGUCCCAGCUACUAUGGAGGCUGGGCGGGGAGGAUCACUUGAGCCCAGGUGUUUGAGGGUACAGUGAGCCAUGCUCAUGCCACUGCCCUCCAGCUUGGGCGAUAGAGCAAGACCCCAACUCUAAAAAAAAAAAAAAAGAAGGAAAAAUAGGGAUUGUGCAAUAGAAUCAAACACAGAGGUCACUGGAUAAUAACAAACAGUAGUUUAUGAGUAGUUUUUGUGUAGCUUUGUUUUUUUGAUUUUUGUUUUUUUGUUUUUUGUUUGUUUGUUUUUUGAGACAGAGUCUCACUCUGUCACCAGGCUGGAGUGCAGUGGCACAAUCUUGGCUCACUGCAACCUCUGCCUCCCGGGUUCAAGUGAUUCUCCUGCCUCAGCCUCCCGAGUAGCUGGGACUACAGGCAUGUGCCACCACGCCCAGCUAAUUUUUAUAUUUUUAGUAGAGAUGGGGUUUCACCAUGUUGGCCAGGAUGGUCUCGAUCUCUUGACCUCGUGAUCCGCCCACCUUGGCCUCCCGAAGUGCUAGGAUUACAGGUGUGAGCCACUGCGCCCAGCCUUUGUGUAGCUUUUUGAGCAGCAACACAAUAGUGGAUAGAGCUGUAAAGAACACAAGGAGAGGAAGGGAAAAUUCAAACAGCUGCGGCUUGUUGGUCUUUUAAUGCCUGGUUCUUGAUUUUGAAUCCACUGCUGUCUUUACAGGAGGGCACUAAUUUCCAGCGAAGAAGUGUAAGUUGCUUUGAUCGUAUCUCAUUCUUACAAAAUGUAGACUCACCAAUGGCUGUUGUUUUUUUCAGUGGGCCUAAUGCAUAUAGCUUCCAGAUGUAAAGGUAAAGUACUCCAGUGGAUGAUUCAUUUUAAAUUAGAAAUUAGCUUAAAGGCUAAUAAAAGUUGAAAAUAAAAUUUAUCUCAAACCUAGUUAGGUGUUUUUUCUUUUUGGCAAGAGAAAAUGGAUAUGAGGAAAGUAUUCUUCCUGUAGUGGGAGAUCAGGGGCAAUAUGGUGAUACCAUAGCCAUGGCACAGAUAAAGUGGGAUCUAAUAAUUUAGUUAAUUUUAUCUGUUUAUUUGACUGUAGGUACUUGAGCAUAUAGUUGUUUUGUUGUUGUUGUUGUCAUUUUUUUAAGAAAAAGCAUCGGUGUUCUUUUGUUUUGUUUUGUUUUGUUUUUUUGAGAGAGAGAGGUCUCGCUGUGUUGCCCAGGUUGGUCUUGUACUCCUGGCUUCAAGUGGUUCUCCCACCUUGGUCUCCCAAAGUGUUGGAGUUACAGGUGUGAGCCACUGCACCCAGUCAAGUUUUCCUUCUUAAGUGAUAAGAGUGAUACUUAGAAAGAUACUCACUUGGAAGAAGAGAAAUUAAAAAUUUUAGCACUUUUUGGCCACCUAAAAUAAUUGCAUGGAAGAGUGACCAAGAAAAACGCUGAAAAAAACUUUUCUUUGGGAAAAUAUAUAUUCCUUAUAUUCCUUAAAGCAAAAAUGAAUAGAGAAAAAUUGGCACCCCUGUUGUGUUAGAAACUAUUUGAAAAAUGAUGAAUUGUAAAUAUUGUCAAUUUCAAUACUCUGGUUUUGAUUUAAAGUUUGAAAUCGAGAUUUUGUGAUGGAAUGAUUUCUUCUGUUUGUAUGGUAGUUAAAGCUUGCUUAUUACCACCAUACUAGAAACUUGGCCGUAAACAGGAAUCUAUGUGCCUGGGCAGAAACUACCCCAUAAACACGUUGUUAUUUUAAAAUCUUAAAGGAGAGAGGAUAUCAAAGUAUAUUCUUUAUCAUUUUCUCUUAGAAAAUCUGACAUUGUGUUUUUGGACUAGUAAGUAGAAUAGAUAUUUAGCAGGAAAUUUAUAUGUAGGCCUUUGGGCUUCAAAAAUACUUAUCCCUGUGAUCCUUUGGGCGUAUCUAUGAUGUCAUGAUGUUGACGGUGUCAGCAUAGUUUAUUUUGUCACAUUUGUGCUUUCAUGAACAUAAAACCUUUAAUUCGUUUUCUUUAAAAGGUACAGCAGCACCAUCUUAGUUAAGCAGAACAAGUUUCACUUCAUGUGACUCAAUCAAUGAAGGAAAAUACAACUUUUGAUAAAGACACCAGUGAGCAUUUUAUUGAUUAAUGGGAUGCGUUAUUUAGCUUUAUGCUUGCAGACAGGCUCAAGAUUAGAUCUUAGUACAUUGGGAAAAACUUCAGUUAUACAACAUGUCCUAACUUUUGUUGUGUUGACAUUCAAGCUAGAGUUUAAUACUCCUCUGAUGAAGGUAUUAAAUAAUGUAGGUUUCUAAGCUGUAUGCAACUAAAGCAUAUUUGCUUCAUGACCAACAUCUAUAUGCUGUGAUGUUAUCCAGUGAGUGAAACACAGGUCAACUCUACACGAAGCCUUUUUUUGUAUUCCUAUUUUGUCUUCUCCAUCUCUCCUUUCUUAUUAUAGCAUAUUUUUUUCACUCUAAGGAAAGAACAUUUAUGCAGGGCUUGCUUACCCCAACAAAGCAUAGCACAGGCAGGGCUGACACAAAAUCAACGGGAGAAGUUUGAAAAAAGAGAACUGCUGGGAUUAAAUGUUCAGUGAUUUACUUGUUGUAUUAGUCCAUUUUCAUGCUGCUGAUGAAGACAUACCCAAGACUGGGCAAUUUACAAAACAAAGAGGUUUAUUGAACUUACAAUUCCACAUGGCUGAGGAGGCCUCACAAUCAUAGUGGAAGACAAAGAGGAGCAAGUCACAUCGUAUGUGGAUGGCAGGAGGCAAAAAGAGAGCUUCUGCAGAGAAACCCCCAUUUUUAAAACCAUCAGAUCUCAUGAGACUCAUUCACUAUUAGGAGAACAGCACAGGAAAGACCCACCCCCAUAAUUAAAUCACCUCCCACCGGGUUCCUCCCACAGACAUGUGGGAAUCAUGGGAGUUACAAUUCAAGAUGAGAUUUGGGUGGGGACACAGCCAAACCAUAUCACUUGUUGAAUGCACUUGGAUUGUACGGAGUGGGGCUGAGCUGCUGAUGUGUGUGCUUCAUCCACUUUGGGGCAAUUUUCUUAUUGUAUAAACUGAAUCAUGCGCCUGUCCUCAUUUGGCUUCACGUUAGAACCAAAAGAUGAGAGAUAUGUGCCCUUUAAAUGGGCUUUUAGUCACAUUUUAUAACAUAAUAAAUCUAAUUUUCAAUGAAUAUACCAACGUAUAUAUCUAGAAUAAGCCAUUUGCUCAGGAAAACAUAUGUCAACAUACUUAUAUGCAGUAAACGCCAACUGAAGCUUAACUUUUUCUAACAAUUCUGAAGUCUCAGAACAUUUACUACCUCUUUUUAGGAAUUGCUUCCAGAGCCAUAAGCACAUUUUUAUAAAUAUUGCCAACAGUGAUAUAAUAUCUUCAUCCAUUAACAUUAAAUUGAAUUUUUUGCAAAUGAUCAAAAGGUCAUUCCGAGUAAAUUCUGUUGUAUAGUGCAGAUGAUCAAGCUGAGUAUUUGCCAUGUUUUUAUUUUAGAAAAGAGAUGUUGCUAUAACAUAAGUAAAUAGAUUCUCGUAUGUGGCAGAUAAAUUUACUUGUAAUCUGCUCUAGAGUGAAAUUAUUUUUUACAUAUAAGCAUUGUCAUCAUUCUAAGGAUUAUUGAAUAAUGAAUAUAAAAUGUUCUUGUGUAUUUGUGUAUGUGUAUAUAAUUUUUUGAAAGUUUCUUUAUCCUAUUGACCCUUCUCAUAAACAGUAGCAUAUAUAUAUUAUAUGUAGUAGAAUUUAUAUAGGAACAUUGUCUUUUUCCCAGUAAUGCUGAUUCUAAACUAGAUUAUGUAAAUUUCAUGUAACAUGACAUUAAGAAUAGUGGGGUGCUAAAGAUAUUUAGAAAUGAUUUCCAAAAUUGUUGUAUUUCUAACAUAGAAGGAUAUUGUCAUUUUAAAAUAAUGUAAAGAAAAAAUGCCCCAAACUAUCUCUUUAAUAAAGUUUUUUUUUAAAAUAAAAAACCAUUUGUUCAACACUUUAUAAUGUAUAUGUUAUUUCUCAUACCUGGUGUUUUUUUUCAUAACAACUAGAGAAAAUUGCUAUUAUCAUUAUUCCCAUUUGAAGAGGAGCCUAUGAAGUUUCAUUAGAGGUAAAUCAUCUUGCUCAAGAUCACAGAGCAGUAAGUGUUGGAACUGGAAUAAACCUAGAUUGUCUGACUCCAAAUCUGUGCGUGUGUGUUUAAUGUUUUAACUUUUAUUUUAAAAGUUCAGGGUACAUGUGCA